Molecule: ribosomal RNA, 527 nt
Filed under: Staphylococcus nepalensis
Lineage: Bacteria; Bacillati; Bacillota; Bacilli; Caryophanales; Staphylococcaceae
Description: bacterial SSU rRNA
Rfam family: Bacterial small subunit ribosomal RNA
Source: RNAcentral
GCUCAGGAUGAACGCUGGCGGCGUGCCUAAUACAUGCAAGUCGAGCGAACAGAUAAGGAGCUUGCUCCUUUGACGUUAGCGGCGGACGGGUGAGUAACACGUGGGUAACCUACCUAUAAGACUGGAAUAACUCCGGGAAACCGGGGCUAAUGCCGGAUAAUAUUUAGAACCGCAUGGUUCUAAAGUGAAAGAUGGUUUUGCUAUCACUUAUAGAUGGACCCGCGCCGUAUUAGCUAGUUGGUGGGGUAAUGGCUUACCAAGGCAACGAUACGUAGCCGACCUGAGAGGGUGAUCGGCCACACUGGAACUGAGACACGGUCCAGACUCCUACGGGAGGCAGCAGUAGGGAAUCUUCCGCAAUGGGCGAAAGCCUGACGGAGCAACGCCGCGUGAGUGAUGAAGGUCUUCGGAUCGUAAAACUCUGUUAUUAGGGAAGAACAAAUGUGUAAGUAACUGUGCACGUCUUGACGGUACCUAAUCAGAAAGCCACGGCUAACUACGUGCCAGCAGCCGCGGUAAUACGUAGG